Long non-coding RNA from Alnus glutinosa, 637 nucleotides. RefSeq lists it as uncharacterized. The transcript has 2 exons. Lineage: Eukaryota; Viridiplantae; Streptophyta; Magnoliopsida; Fagales; Betulaceae. The record is from RefSeq and is a predicted model, not a curated record.
UUUUUUUUAAAAAUCAAAAUCCCCGCCUAGAUACUCUUGUGCUUUCGCGCUUGAUCUAGCUAGUUUUCUCUCUCUCUUCGACGCACAAGUACGCGUAUAGUGCAGCUAGGGGAAGCUCUCUGUUCGAUUUCUGGCUAAUCGAUCUAUUAACUGAAAUUACACGCAUCUCUCUCUCCCUCCUCCGGGACGCAGCCGCUGCCCUCAUCUUGAAGCCGCCGUCGCCUGACCUCAUCACGACGCCGCCGCCGACUCCAGCCCACUUCGCCAGCUCGAUCUCCUCCCUCGAGCCCAUCGGUUGACAUGAGAGCUAGGAUUCGUGGAAACAAGGGAUACUAGUUUUCCAAAUUGCGAAAUCAAUUUGGGUAGCAUGCACUUGUAGGGUUUGAACAAAAAGCCUCCUGCACUCAGCAACUAUUGGAACCGUUAUAAUAUGGAUGUGGAAGGUAUCAGAUUCAACGGAUACUUGCAGUUACAAUUCCUCUUUGUUAUACCCUGUAAAUUUUUUACUUUCCCAGUAAGAAUUUUUUUUACUUUUGUUUUUAAUGUGGAAGAAAACAGAAUUAAACGAUAUUUCCCUAUCUAAUAAAAAUACGUCAGGAGUGCCGCUGGUUGGCUGCGGCUGGUUUUGCUUUAGAAA